This is a long non-coding RNA of Meriones unguiculatus (Mongolian gerbil), 1822 nucleotides long. RefSeq lists it as uncharacterized. The record is from RefSeq and is a predicted model, not a curated record. Lineage: Eukaryota; Metazoa; Chordata; Mammalia; Rodentia; Muridae. The transcript is spliced from 2 exons.
AUGGCCAAGCUCAGUCACACAGUCUCGUGUUGCCUGUGUCUCAAGAUACAGAACUCUCAGCUCCUCCUCCAGCACCGCAUCUGCCUGCAUGCCACCAUGCUGCCCACUAUGAUGAGAAUGCACUAAACCACUGAAAUUCGAUAGGACUUGCUUUAUGUGACUGGCAGGUCCAUAGCAAGUUCCCACGUCCUUUGUCUGGUAGGAAAAACAGAGAUGACUCUCAUUUGCAGACUGGGGACUCUUGAAGCCUGGGAACACGAACAGUCACCGGUACAAAAACUCCAAGAAGAACUUGUUUGUAUUCAAAAUAUAAGACGCAGGGAAUCCUGGUGGUAUGGACUGAUUUUCCUGAAUGGCGGGAUCCCUGGAAGAGGGGGCUUGCACUUUUACUAUCCCAGUAAAAAGAAAGCCAUAGACCAGUGCACUUGAUAUUGCCUGCCUGAUGGAAUCUGGACUCACAGCAGGGAAGGGCUUAGUUUGGCUUUAACUGAGGUGGGAAGACAAAUUCUAAUGUGCUGUAGCAUCAUCCCUGGGCCAGAACCCUGGGCUGGCUAAUAAAGAGAACACCAGCUGAGCACCGGCAUUCAUUGUGCUCUGCCUCCUGGCUACAUACAGAUGGUGAGAAGCCGCCUGGCACUCUGCCACCAUGCCUCCCUCACCAUGAUAAAUUGUGCAAGGCCUCAGAUGAGGACUCAGGAGUUCACGAAAAUGGACUGUGGGGGAGCAGUAAGAAGUUUAACAGAGGAGUUAGUAACACCAUGGACAGACAGACAGACAACAGCACAGCAGAGGCUCUGAGGAGAGUGAAACCUCGGCAUCAGAGACCGACACCACAGAGAGAGGUCUGAAGAGAGGAAUGAGGGCCUCCGCAGCAGAGCCAGGCUCCCUUCUUACCUUUGAUUCUGAGACAGGAUUCAGGGAGGGAUAGGGAGCAAGCUGUGAGGCCAGAAACACCUUCUAGCAUGUAAACUCACAUUCCCAGGUUAAAAAUCAUGGUUCUUGGAAAUCUAUUGGCAGGAGAAUUGUAAGCACUGCCUCAGCAAGGGCCUGGAGAUACCUGUGAGCGGGAAGGCUGGCACUAAUAAAUUCACAGCAGCAGGGCUGGACUCUAGUGUCACACACACCAUGACCAAGGCAACUCUUAUCAAAGAAAGCAUUUAAUCGGGGGCUCACUUACAGCUUCCGAGGCUUAGUCCCUUAUUAUCAGGCUGGGAACAGUAGCUGAAGCUACAUCCUGAUCUAUGGGCAGAAAGAGAAGAGAGAGCCUGGGCCUGGCACGGGCUUUUGAAAAGUUAAAACCCACCCCCAGUGACACACUUCCUCUAACAAGGCCACACCUCCUAAUCCUUCUAAUCCUCUCCAAUAGUGCCACUCCCUGGCAUGCUAACAUUUGAUCCCAUGGGGGCCAUUCUGACUCAAAUCGCAGUAGCUAGUAAAAGGCAUAAAGCGGUCCAAGAAAAUUUUGGUUUUCACACCCCAUGUCUUCCCAGUCAGCCAAGAAUCAGCACUGCAGCAUCUUCAUUUCAGACUUGGCUUCUCCAGAGGGCUGUAGCCACGACCAUCAGCACAUUCAAGUGAAAUUCGGGAAGGAUGGGAAGAAACUGUUCCUGAACCAAUUCCCAGGUCCUCGGGGCUUUGAGACAUGUUGGUGGCUCUUCCUACUGGCUCUGCAGCAUCUUCUCUUGCCAACCCAGGCUUUCCUCCCUCCUGUCCUUUUGCUGUCUCAAGGACUUCUGAAGCAAUCUCCUUGGCUGUGCCUCUUCCUCGAGGGUUUUAUUUUGAUUAAACACUCAUAAUUAAAACCAAAUUGGAUGAACCAGAA